This 1917-nucleotide long non-coding RNA is filed under the name Bos grunniens (domestic yak). RNAcentral's name for it is "lncRNA (ENSBGRG00000005323.1)". Lineage: Eukaryota; Metazoa; Chordata; Mammalia; Artiodactyla; Bovidae. The record is from RNAcentral.
CUGACAUUUACGUCAGGGGCACUGACCAUUUUCAGUGACUUUAACCUAUACAGAUAAAAAUGUCAGCAAGACUUUGAUAGUAACAGAAACUAGACCGAAUGACAAUAAUACUAUAAGCAUUAAAUCUCUAAUAUUACAGAAUUACAGAGUUUUAGACUUUAGAUGACUGUAGCAGUGCCUGGUCCAGUGUUGGAAUCGCCUUGACAACAGCCUUGUAGGUGGUCACCUGCUGCUACUUAAAUAGUUAGCCUGACAGGAAGUUGGAAAGCAGCCCAUUCUAUUAUGUGGUAGCUUUUCAUAUUGGAAACUCUUUACAUUGAGUUGGUAUUGUUAUCCCUAUGAAUUUCUACCCAUGGGCUCUGCCCUCUGGAGCCAAGGUCUGCAAAGUAUUUGCUGACAGCAAUUAUGUUUGCUCUAAUUUUCUUCUUUUUCCAGGAAACACAUCUCUAGUUCUGAGUUAUAUGUCAUAUGUGGGACAAAGGUCAAGUGAAAGAAAGAAAAUAAUGUGCUGUGGCUUAUUAUUAGAACUCAAGGAGUUGGAAUUUAUCCUGGGUCAUCAAAUUUCCAGGUUGAGUGGAAGACUUUGAAGCUAUGUAAGGAUCCGCCUGCAAUGCAGGAGACCUGGAUUCAAUCUCUGGGUCUGGAGGAUCCCUUGGAGAAGUGAAUGUCUACCCACUCCAGUAUUCUUGCCUGGAGAAUUCCAUGGACAGAGGAGCCUGAUGGGCUACAGUUCAUGGGGUUGCAAAGAGUCGGACACAACUGAGUGACUAACACUUUCACUUCACCUUUUCAUGCUGAACCAUACAGAAAAUUUUUUUAAAGUGUAAAAUGAAAUUAGCCCACUCUCUCAAAAUCUUUUGUUUUCCACAUGUUUCUUUUUUAAAUAAAAUAUAUUUAUUUCUUCCUAGCUUUCUGAGCAUCUUACUUUUGUUUUAAAGCAUUCCAUAAACUUUUUCAGGGAACUUUCUUGGAGGAAAGAAAAUUUUGAACUGGAGCUUGAAGAAAUGAAAAUUUUCUGAGCAGGAAGGAGCACAAAAAUACUCCAGGUAUAGGGACUUGCUUGUGCAAGGCAGGAAGCUGUGAUCUGAAUUUGGGAAUUGGGAAACACUGGGCUGCUUACUGGGGUGUGAGAAGGGAAAUGGGAACAGAUGCAGCUAGGAAAAACAUUGAAGCCAGGCUAUUAAGCAUCUAAUGUACAUCCUUGGGUAGCAGAGAAACAGCAGAGGUGGUUUUUUUUUUUGGUAAUUUAAUGGCUGUGCUGGGUCUUCAUAGCUGUGCAGGCUUUUCCCCAUUGUGGAGAGUGGGAGCUACUUUCUAGUCGUGAUGUGCCGGCUUCUCACUGUGGUGGCUUCUCUUGUUACAGAACACAGGCUCUAGGGUGCUUGGGCUUCAGUAGCUGCGGUUCCUGGGCUCUAGAGGAGGAUCAAUAGUUGUGGUACACAGGUUCGUUGCUCCGUGGCAUGUGGGAUCUUCCCGGAUCAGGAAUUUAAUCUGGUCUCCUGCAUUGGCAGGUGGAUUCUUUACCACUGAGCCACCAGGGAAGCUCCAAAAGGUUUUAACAUUCUUACCCUUAAUUAUUUAUAAAUAACUUCAGAUUUACAGAAAAAUUGUGAGUAUUAAUAUAAGGAACACAUAUAUAUCUCCUUUACUCAGAUUCACUUAUUGUUAAUAUUUUGUCCCAUUUGCUUUUUUAUUUGAUCUCUCUCUCAUAAUACAUACAUACAUAAGUGUGUGUACACAUAUACAUACACAUACGUUUUCCUGUACCACUCAAGAGUAAGUGGAAUCAUGAUCCUCUUCUCCUAAAUACCUUUGUGUGUUUUUCAUAGAAAUAGGGAUGCCCUCUUCAUAACCACACAACAGUUACCAGCUUUAGUAAAUUGAACACUGAUAUAAUACUUUUUAAUCUAACUUGGG